RNAcentral lists this ribosomal RNA (143 nucleotides) under uncultured eukaryote. RNAcentral describes it as "partial 18S ribosomal RNA". It matches the Rfam family "Eukaryotic small subunit ribosomal RNA", at positions 1299 to 1458 of the family's 1831-position model. The record is from RNAcentral.
UGGUGGAGUGAUUUGUCUGGUUAAUUCCGUUAACGAACGAGACCUCGACCUGCUAAAUAGUUUGGCGAAUUCCCUGUGGAUUCGCACAUAACUUCUUUGAGGGACUAUCGGUUCGCAGCCGGUGGAAGUUCGAGGCAAUAACA